AUGCACCUUACACAGCUUAAAUGUCGGAUUAAUAGCAUCCAUCUUUUAAAAAGUGUGUAGUAACUUAU
Molecule: ribosomal RNA, 68 nt
Filed under: Alexandrium andersonii
Lineage: Eukaryota; Dinophyceae; Gonyaulacales; Pyrocystaceae
Description: partial Archaeal large subunit ribosomal RNA
Source: RNAcentral